GCCGCCGUGCUGGAACUGGUAUACAGGAUGGUCUCAAAAACCAUUGGGAGUGAUCCCAUGUCGGUUCAACUCCGACCGGCGGCACGA
This 87-nucleotide transfer RNA is filed under the name Candidatus Moranbacteria bacterium CG_4_8_14_3_um_filter_43_15. RNAcentral's name for it is "tRNA-Leu". It matches the Rfam family "tRNA". From Rfam's summary of the family: Transfer RNA (tRNA) molecules are approximately 80 nucleotides in length. The record is from RNAcentral. Lineage: Bacteria; Candidatus Moraniibacteriota. RNAcentral also lists the same sequence under 3 other names.